This 22-nucleotide non-coding RNA is filed under the name Xenopus tropicalis (tropical clawed frog). Lineage: Eukaryota; Metazoa; Chordata; Amphibia; Anura; Pipidae. RNAcentral also lists the same sequence under 1 other name. The record is from RNAcentral.
GGUUAAGCGACUAAGCGUACAC